Molecule: long non-coding RNA, 909 nt
Filed under: Bos indicus x Bos taurus (hybrid cattle)
Lineage: Eukaryota; Metazoa; Chordata; Mammalia; Artiodactyla; Bovidae
Description: lncRNA (ENSBIXG00000012010.1)
Source: RNAcentral
GGCCUGCAUUUAUUGAGGGUGUACUACGUGCUAGGUCCUGAAUGGACACCAUCUCAAGACCACCUUUGAGGGCAUAAUGACUGACUUCUCACUUUGGAGCCGAGGUCAAGGAGGUUGUGGCAACUGAGGAAUUUGCCUCCAGGGGACAGACUCAAGCAUAGAGUUUCCACCAAAGCAGCACCGCGGAGACCCCGCCCUUCCCCCAAAUGCAAUCCAGAAAAUUCUCCUCCACCAAAUAAUAAUUGUCGCAUCCUCAAGGUAUAUACUUUUAUACCAAGUAGUCCUUUGUUUCUCCCCAUAUGUCUUCCACCUGUUUUCUUAUGUUUCUAUGCUGCUGACUCUGUGCUGUGGGCAAUAUUGAAAACGCAUAUGUCACAAUCCCUGCCCUCAAGGAACUUAACCAGACAAUUGGGAAUUGACACCAAAAAAAUGAUAGAGAACCACAAAGAUGGCACAGCCUCAAGACCUAAAUUUCAGACUAUAGUUUGAAAUCCUUUAGUGGAUGGGCUGUAAAAUGAGUUUAAGGGAUCACAAUUGGCAUUAAAAAAAAAGGAAAUAACUCAAACAGCAAAGAUUUGAGUGUCUAUGACAUAGUACAAGUAAGCAUAUUUUUAGUAAAAGUUUGGUUCUGUUUUACAUAGAAAUAUCAUGUUUCUUACCAUAGGUCCUGGUCACAUGUGUUUGAACACUUCUGACAAGCCAGGUGUGAGGUGAGUAUGGUCUGGUGUAUGAAAGAAUGCCAAGGAGAUACAAUCGUUCCUAACUUGUGUUUGAGUCAUGGACCCUGAGGACCAUUUGAGAAUGAUUGCAAGUCCCUCUAGAAAGCAUACAUAUGGCUGACAUUUUGCCUAUGAUCUCAGUAGUUCAUGGACUUUACAACCCGUUCACAGACCUUGGUUAGAUCCCUUU